This 302-nucleotide long non-coding RNA is filed under the name Ananas comosus (pineapple). RNAcentral's name for it is "long non-coding RNA (ACOM_LNC043082)". Lineage: Eukaryota; Viridiplantae; Streptophyta; Magnoliopsida; Poales; Bromeliaceae. The record is from RNAcentral.
AACAUUAUAGUGGAAAGAUAAGUAUCAAAAUUUUCAAAAUUUUAAUAUUUUUCUCUUUGUUUUAAUUUUCGACAAUCGAAUAUUUCAUCGGGUCUGGAUCCUGACAUGAAAACUAUUUCAGAUUCUGCCCGCCAAAAGAUCAGGUCCUAGUUGACUUCAAGUCGAAUAUGGAUGUAACGUAUUCAGAUCUAUAUCCGAAACUUCUUGUUAAUUUUUCUUACUCAUAUAAUAUUCAUUUUUAAUCGGAUUCAAAUCAGGUAUGGGAUAUUGGGUAUUUUGGACAUCUAUAUUCUUCGGUGGGA